This 164-nucleotide non-coding RNA is filed under the name Microbulbifer sp. ZGT114. The record is from RNAcentral. RNAcentral also lists the same sequence under 1 other name. Lineage: Bacteria; Pseudomonadati; Pseudomonadota; Gammaproteobacteria; Cellvibrionales; Microbulbiferaceae.
AUACUCCCCCGCGCUUUGGGUGCCCAGUAGUGCAAUUGCACUUGGCUGGGUUAAACGGGAAGUCCGGUGACGUCUAUCGACCAGUCCGGCGCUGCCCCCGCAACGGUGAGCCAAUUCAUUGAAUUGAAGGCAAGCCCGAUACCGGCCCUCAGCAAGUUCGAGGA